Long non-coding RNA from Manis pentadactyla (Chinese pangolin), 1107 nucleotides. RefSeq lists it as uncharacterized. NCBI's taxonomy places the organism in Eukaryota, Metazoa, Chordata, Mammalia, Pholidota, Manidae. The record is from RefSeq and is a predicted model, not a curated record. The transcript has 2 exons.
UCUUUAAAUAUUACGUGGCUGAGAUCAAACAUGUCAAAUGACAGACAUAACUUGAAUAUAUAUAUAGGUUUUAACAAACUUACAGUUAAAUUGCAUACACACAUUAACAGAAUAGGAAUACAGAUACAUAACAAAGGCAGACUUACAAUUACUAGUUAUGUCUAAUGAAAUUAAGAAAACCAGUUAGAUAGGUCAGGCAUCUGUAAAAACUUAUUGACAAUAUGAUGAAUAUCAUCUAAUUGAUUUUGGGUAGUUUGAGAAAAAUCAGACAAAUUGAAAUAGCACAUUCUUGGAAACUGUUAAUAUCCUUCAUGUUCUUUUAACAGCAGACAGUCUAUAGUAGCGCGAUUCCAAAGUACCGCAACUCGCACUUCUCUCAGUUCUUGGUUGAGUUCAGAUAAUAUAUAAGCAGUCAAAUUUGUUGUUUUGCUAUAUGUGCAGGCCAGCUUAGAUAUCUCCUUUAGCAUUCCAACAAGUCCAGGAACCUGCAGAGGAAUGCAGCUGCAACUGCAAUAGUGGCAGGAUCUGAAAGUUUCAAGUUUUCAUCAUAGUCAGAUGGCAGAGCUCAGAGAAGUCUAUUGGGCUUAUAUCUUGGAUGAUUUAUUAUGGCAGGAAGAAUGAGUCCCACACGACAAACACCUCGAUAGUGUGAAGAAAGGGCUUAAUAUGUUUUGUUAUCACACAAAAAUACCCAACCAUUUGGAAGUCUAUAUCUAGAAGACCAUUUUACAUUGAUGGUACAGUUACAGUAAGAGGCUAAUGAGUACAAUUAAUACAUACACAAUCAAUAAUUAUAGUAGUACUAACAGGUAAAUUUAAUUGGGCAUCAGGAGCAAGCACUUUACGGGGAAGAGUGAUGUUUAUGCCUGAUGUAUUAGUAAACACCGUAAGAGGAAGUCUUGUGCCUGUUAAAUUCUUCUUCAACAGUCCACUGAUAGAGGAAUUUCUUGCUACACAAAAAGAUGACCUGUGCAACCCUUGGCUCACGAGUUGUUAUACUAUUAUUUAGUGGGCUUCAGUUUUCCAUGUCUGACGUGCAGACUUUUGUUGAGGUUUUUUGAUGGUCACCUUCUGGAAUGAUUCUUCUAGAGGAUGUUGAUGUUGGAA